This 431-nucleotide ribosomal RNA is filed under the name uncultured bacterium. Its description in RNAcentral is "bacterial SSU rRNA". It matches the Rfam family "Bacterial small subunit ribosomal RNA", at positions 355 to 776 of the family's 1533-position model. The record is from RNAcentral.
UCGAGAGGCUUCGUCAAUGGGGGAAACCCUGAACGAGCGACGCCGCGUGGGCGAUGAAGGCCUUCGGGUUGUAAAGCCCUGUCGUGCGGGAAGAACGAUUCAAUGGCAAACAGUCAUGGGAUCUCGACGGUACCGCAAAAGGAAGCUCCGGCUAACUCCGUGCCAGCAGCCGCGGUAAUACGGGGGGAGCGAACGUUGUUCGGAAUUACUGGGCGUAAAGGGCGCGUAGGCGGCUUCAUAAGUGAGAUGUGAAAGCUCCUGGCUCAACCAGGGAAAUGCGUCUCAUACUGUGAGGCUUGAGUGCAGGAGAGGAUGGGGGAAUUCCCGGUGUAGCGGUGAAAUGCAUUGAUAUCGGGAGGAACACCAGUGGCGAAGGCGCCCAUCUGGCCUGCUACUGACGCUGAGGCGCGAAAGCUGGGGGAGCAAACAGG